This 270-nucleotide long non-coding RNA is filed under the name Lathyrus oleraceus (garden pea). RNAcentral's name for it is "Pisum sativum (pea) long non-coding RNA (PSAT_LNC029979)". The record is from RNAcentral. Lineage: Eukaryota; Viridiplantae; Streptophyta; Magnoliopsida; Fabales; Fabaceae.
UUCCUCCUAAUGGUUGUUGGAUCUGCCACGUCAAUUAAUAAGGUCAGAUCCAACACCUCUGUGUUUUUCUAAUUUUUAUUUCUUUUUAUUUUUUAUUUUAAAUUGCAUAUUCUUUCAAAAUUCAUAUUAAAUUCAUUUUUCAACCAAAAAAUCCCAAAACAAUUUCUAAAUUUUUCUUUUGCUUUUAUUCAUCUGAUUUUUAUUUUUCCACAUUUUAUUUUCUUGAUUUUCUAUUUUUCUCGAAUUUUAUCUUUUUUGAUUUGUUUUAAU